UGCAGUCGAGCGGUAACAGAUCCAGCUUGCUAGAUGCUGACGAGCGGCGGACGGGUGAGUAAUGCAUAGGAACCUGCCCAUUAGUGGGGGAUAGCCCGGGGAAACCCGGGUUAAUACCGCGUACGGCCUUCGGGCGAAAGCAGGCUAUCUUCCGACCUUGCGCUAUUGCCUGUGCCUAAUUCGGAUUAUGUAGUUGGUGGGGUAAAGGCUUACCACGGCGACUAUCUGUUCCUGGUCUGAGAGGAUGAUCAUCCGGAUCGAGACUGACACCGGCCCGAACUCCUACGGGAGGGGGCAAUGGGGAAUAUUGGAGGUGGGGGCAACCCUGAUCGCCCCGUGCCGCGUGAGUGACUACGGGUUUCGGGUUGCUUUCCACUUUCAGUGAGGAGGAAAACUUAGUACCUGCUACCCGUGACGUUUGACGUUAAUCAAACACCAAGCACCGGCUAACUCCGUGCCAGCAGCCGCGGUAAUACGGAAGGUGCAAUCGUUAUUCCGGAUUACUGGGCGCACACCGCGCGUUUGUGGUUUGAUAUGCGAGAUGUGAAGGCUCCGGCUGUAACGUGCGAUCGGCAUUGCCAAAUGACAGUCUUGAAUAUGGUAGAGGAAAUUGGAAUUUCCUGUGUAAC
RNAcentral lists this ribosomal RNA (629 nucleotides) under Marinobacter sp. RNAcentral's name for it is "bacterial SSU rRNA". It matches the Rfam family "Bacterial small subunit ribosomal RNA", at positions 56 to 679 of the family's 1533-position model. Lineage: Bacteria; Pseudomonadati; Pseudomonadota; Gammaproteobacteria; Pseudomonadales; Marinobacteraceae. The record is from RNAcentral.